CUCCUACGGGAGGCAGCAGUAGGGAAUUUUCGGCAAUGGGGGCAACCCUGACCGAGCAACGCCGCGUGAGUGAAGAAGGUUUUCGGAUCGUAAAGCUCUGUUGUAAGAGAAGAACGUGUGUGAGAGUGGAAAGUCACACAGGACGUACUACAGA
Molecule: ribosomal RNA, 154 nt
Filed under: uncultured Streptococcus sp.
Lineage: Bacteria; Bacillati; Bacillota; Bacilli; Lactobacillales; Streptococcaceae
Description: partial 16S ribosomal RNA
Rfam family: Bacterial small subunit ribosomal RNA
Source: RNAcentral